RNAcentral lists this unclassified non-coding RNA (332 nucleotides) under soil metagenome. Its description in RNAcentral is "partial contains 5.8S ribosomal RNA, internal transcribed spacer 2, and large subunit ribosomal RNA". The stretch from base 1 to 120 matches the Rfam family "5.8S ribosomal RNA", at positions 35 to 154 of the family's 154-position model. The record is from RNAcentral.
GAUGAAGAACGCAGUGAAAUGCGAUACGUAAUGUGAAUUUCAGAUUUCAGUGAAUCAUCGAAUCUUUGAACGCACAUUGCGCCCGCUAGUAUUCUGGCGGGCAUGCCUGUUCGAGCGUCAUUUCGACCAUCAAGCCCUAGGCUUGCGUUGGAGCCCUGCGGCUGCCGCAGGCUCCCAAAUCCAGUGGCGGGCUCGUCGUCGUACCGAGUGCAGUAAACAUCCUCGCUCAGGGAACGUGACGGGUUCUUGCCGUGAAACCCCCCACAUAUCAAGGUUGACCUCGGAUCAGGUAGGAAUACCCGCUGAACUUAAGCAUAUCAAUAAGCGGAGGA